This 162-nucleotide ribosomal RNA is filed under the name uncultured bacterium. RNAcentral describes it as "partial 16S rRNA". It matches the Rfam family "Bacterial small subunit ribosomal RNA", at positions 355 to 511 of the family's 1533-position model. The record is from RNAcentral.
UAGGGAAUCUUCCACAAUGGACGCAGCUGAUGGAGCAACGCCGCGUGAGUGAAGAAGGUCUUCGGAUCGUAAAACUCUGUUGUUAGAGGAGAACACGAGUGAGAGUAACUGUUCAUUCGAUGACGGUAUCUAACCAGCAAGUCACGGCUAACUACGUGCCAG